This is a long non-coding RNA of Homo sapiens (human), 1058 nucleotides long. RefSeq lists it as uncharacterized. NCBI's taxonomy places the organism in Eukaryota, Metazoa, Chordata, Mammalia, Primates, Hominidae. The transcript has 3 exons. The record is from RefSeq and is a predicted model, not a curated record.
GUUACUUCCCUCUCUGCUCCCUGCCAUGUGAGGACACAGAGAAGUUAGCAGUCUGCAGCCCAGAAGAGGACACUCACCAGAACCCAACCACGCUGGCACCCUGAUCUCAGACUUCCAGCCUCCGGAAUCGUUUCUGACCCUUGAGCCUAAAAGACUACGGCAUACUACAGGGCAUAUGCCAAGAUGAGAGCAAAAUGGAAAACAGAAAGCAGAUGAGGUGGAUGCAGUUUCAAAUGUGGCUGUGCGCUUCUGGGUAAACAAAGUGAAAAGGGAAAUUCGGUCAACUACAUUGUUCUCAUUAAGCAUGAAGUGAGAAUGCUCAAGUUCCUUAGGACCAGCAAAGCUUUUUUCUAGCACUUAUUUCUCAAAGCACAAUAGGCAUUAUACAAGGAACUACUGGGAGAUAUGGAGGAUGCUGUCUUCAUUAACUGACACUUUGCAGCGAAUUCAAUAAUGGGAUGUAUAAGGCUGCUGUUCAGAGCAUCUGUUAUGAACACUGAGGGACUCAUGCUUCCAUGGUUGGUCAACUUGAUUCUGUGCAGUUGGAAGAAAGGCAAUGUGGUCUGAGUAUGCCAGCAUCCAGAGGCUCUCUGCAAGUGUCAGUGUUCCAGGAACUGGUCCCCAAACAUUUUAGCCACAACUGACUCUCAGCCCAUUUCUGCCCUUUCCCUCUCAGUGCAAGCUCAUUUGUACCAACUUCUGAAGGUUCCACUCUCCCGUCCCGAGGAGGGAAAUACAAGAGAAUUGAAACCUCCUGCCCUUCAUCCCUGAGAAGGGUUGCACAGAGGUGCCUGCAGAUGUCAAGAACUGUCCUCCACAGCAUCCCUGUUCUUUACCUCCUGUCUCCAUGAUUAAUUCAAGCUGUUGGGAUCUCACAUUACCAUCAGGCUGUCACUGCACUGAGGGUCCCAAAUGGCUCCAGCCCAAGCAACAAAUUAAUCCAGGCUGCUGAGCUUCUGGAAGAUGAAGAACUGACCCAUCGGAAAAUAUACAGAUUGGAACAAGCAUAGCUUUAUUCUUCCCCUUCUCGGGAUGGACCCCAACACCUAACCAAGGCU